UGGUAGUCCACGCCGUAAACGAUGUCAACUAGCCGUUGGGAGCCUUGAGCUCUUAGUGGCGCAGCUAACGCAUUAAGUUGACCGCCUGGGGAGUACGGCCGCAAGGUUAAAACUCAAAUGAAUUGACGGGGGCCCGCACAAGCGGUGGAGCAUGUGGUUUAAUUUGAAGCAACGCGAAGAACCUUCCCAGGCCUUGACAUCCAAUGAACUUUCCAGAGAUGGAUUGGUGCCUUCGGGAACAUUGAGACAGGUGCCGCAUGGCUGUGGUCAGCUCGUGUCGUGAGAUGUUGGGUUAAGUCCCGUAACGAGCGCAACCCUUGUCCUUAGUUACCAGCACGUAAUGGUGGGCACUAUAAGGAGACUGCCGGUGACAAACCGGAGGAAGGUGGUGAGGACGUCAAGUCAUCAUGGCCCUUACGGCCUGGGCUACACACGUGCUACAAUGGUCGGUACAGAGGGUUGCCAAGCCUCGAGGUGGAGCUAAUCCCACAAAACCGAUCGUAGUCCGGAUCGCAGUCUGCAACUCGACUUUGUGAAGUCGGAAUCGCUAGUAAUCGCGAAUCAGAAUGUCGCGGUGAACCGUUCCCGGGCCUUGUACACACCGCCCGUCACACCAUGGGAGUGGGUGCACCAGAAGUAGCUAGUCUAAC
RNAcentral lists this ribosomal RNA (650 nucleotides) under Pseudomonas sp. AD125. Its description in RNAcentral is "bacterial SSU rRNA". It matches the Rfam family "Bacterial small subunit ribosomal RNA", at positions 788 to 1439 of the family's 1533-position model. Lineage: Bacteria; Pseudomonadati; Pseudomonadota; Gammaproteobacteria; Pseudomonadales; Pseudomonadaceae. The record is from RNAcentral.